UAGUUAAGUUCUUGAAACUCAAAGAAUUUGGCGGUGUUUUAGUCUAUUCAGAGGAAUCUGUCCCAUGAUCGAUAAUUCACGAGUUAUUUUACUUAAUUUAGUAUAGUCAGCUUGUAUACCGCCGUCAUCAGAUAAUCUUAGGAGAGUUAUUAAUGUUCUUAAUAUUUAAGUGGAUAAGAUGUCAGGUCAAGGUGCAGUUUAUAGUUAAGUGGAGAUGGAUUACAAUAAAUUUAUUUAUUAAUGGAUUCUGAUUUGAAAUUUUCGGAUAAAGGUGGAUUUGAUAGUAAUAUUGUUGUUAUUAAUAAUUUGAUUUUAGCUCUAGAACAUGUACACAUCGCCCGUCGCUCUCAGUUUAAGGUGAGAUAAGUCGUAACAUAGUAGAUGUACUGGAAAGUGUAUCUAGGAAGA
This 408-nucleotide ribosomal RNA is filed under the name Anostostomatidae gen. A sp. 1 RCP-2008. Its description in RNAcentral is "partial 12S ribosomal RNA". It matches the Rfam family "Microsporidia small subunit ribosomal RNA", at positions 755 to 1311 of the family's 1311-position model. The record is from RNAcentral. Lineage: Eukaryota; Metazoa; Arthropoda; Insecta; Orthoptera; Anostostomatidae.